Molecule: ribosomal RNA, 515 nt
Filed under: Cryocola sp.
Lineage: Bacteria; Bacillati; Actinomycetota; Actinomycetes; Micrococcales; Microbacteriaceae
Description: bacterial SSU rRNA
Rfam family: Bacterial small subunit ribosomal RNA
Source: RNAcentral
CGACGGGUAGCCGGCCUGAGAGGGUGACCGGCCACACUGGGACUGAGACACGGCCCAGACUCCUACGGGAGGCAGCAGUGGGGAAUAUUGCACAAUGGGCGCAAGCCUGAUGCAGCAACGCCGCGUGAGGGACGACGGCCUUCGGGUUGUAAACCUCUUUUAGUAGGGAAGAAGCGAAAGUGACGGUACCUGCAGAAAAAGCACCGGCUAACUACGUGCCAGCAGCCGCGGUAAUACGUAGGGUGCGAGCGUUGUCCGGAAUUAUUGGGCGUAAAGAGCUCGUAGGCGGUUUGUCGCGUCUUCUGUGAAAACCCGAGGCUCAACCUCGGGCCUGCAGUGGGUACGGGCAGACUAGAGUGCGGUAGGGGAGAAUGGAAUUCCUGGUGUAGCGGUGGAAUGCGCAGAUAUCAGGAGGAACACCGAUGGCGAAGGCAGUUCUCUGGGCCGUAACUGACGCUGAGGAGCGAAAGCGUGGGGAGCGAACAGGAUUAGAUACCCUGGUAGUCCACGCCGUA